Ornithorhynchus anatinus (platypus) is the source of this 138-nucleotide small nucleolar RNA. The record is from RefSeq and is a predicted model, not a curated record. Lineage: Eukaryota; Metazoa; Chordata; Mammalia; Monotremata; Ornithorhynchidae.
CCUCUCUCAGGGUCGCCCCUGGAGAGUUUCCAGUACUCUACCAGUCUUGGCUAGGGGAGGGCAAGUCAAGCAGAGGCCUACCCAUUCCAUUCCUAGCUUGCGCCGUGGCUAGCUAGGGGAAGGCAAUCUGCUACAAGU